GAUGAACGCUGGCGGCGUGCCUAAUACAUGCAAGUCGAGCGAACAGACGAGGAGCUUGCUCCUCUGACGUUAGCGGCGGACGGGUGAGUAACACGUGGAUAACCUACCUAUAAGACUGGGAUAACUUCGGGAAACCGGAGCUAAUACCGGAUAACAUGUUGAACCGCAUGGUUCAACAGUGAAAGACGGCUUUGCUGUCACUUAUAGCUGGAUCCGCGUCGCAUUAGCUAGUUGGUAAGGUAACGGCUUACCAAGGCAACGAUUCGUAGCCGACCUGAGAGGGUGAUCGGCCACACUGGAACUGAGACACGGUCCAGACUCCUACGGGAGGCAGCAGUAGGGAAUCUUCCGCAAUGGGCGAAAGCCUGACGGAGCAACGCCGCGUGAGUGAAGAAGGUCUUCGGAUCGUAAAACUCUGUUAUUAGGGAAGAACAAAUGUGUAAGUAACUAUGCACGUCUUGACGGUACCUAAUCAGAAAGCCACGGCUAACUACGUG
This 497-nucleotide ribosomal RNA is filed under the name uncultured bacterium. RNAcentral's name for it is "partial 16S ribosomal RNA". It matches the Rfam family "Bacterial small subunit ribosomal RNA", at positions 28 to 507 of the family's 1533-position model. The record is from RNAcentral.